Molecule: long non-coding RNA, 534 nt
Organism: Mus musculus (house mouse)
Lineage: Eukaryota; Metazoa; Chordata; Mammalia; Rodentia; Muridae
Product: predicted gene, 52811
Exons: 3
Source: RefSeq, a predicted model, not a curated record
GGGAUGGAUUUCUGACCUUUCUCUACCCUGGUCACUGUCAGUGCACAUGUGUCCUGAGCUCCUCUUGCAGCAAACCCCUCCUCCAAGGUACCUCUGUUCUCAAGGCCCGCAGAGACCAAGAGAGGACCUCUGUGUUCUGGAGCACAGGCCAUGAGUGCUCCAGCUGCCCUGCUGCAGCAGACAGAAAGGAAUACUGACUGCUUCGAGGUCUACAUGUCUUCAUCUGGCCUCCAGAUUUAGUCCCGUCUCCUUCCUGUCUGCGGUGGUCCAUGGGAUACUAGUUUGAACCUCCUAGUUUGAUAUGCCUGUGACUGCUCCCCUCCAAGGCUUCCUGUGGCUUCCCUGCCCACCAGGUGCUGGAUGUCACUUCCCUGUGGUCCACUUUCUGCCAUGAAGCUUUCAGCCCAUCUCUUCCAAAAGCAGCAGUGCUGUGAAGAGCAGAGAAGAACCUUACACCGGAAACCACAGUCUCCAGCCAUAGCCAAUACCCGAGUGACAAGGCAGUGGCACAUUGAGUACUCAGCACGGACAACA